RNAcentral lists this long non-coding RNA (1352 nucleotides) under Anolis carolinensis (green anole). Its description in RNAcentral is "lncRNA (ENSACAG00000041031.1)". The record is from RNAcentral. Lineage: Eukaryota; Metazoa; Chordata; Lepidosauria; Squamata; Anolidae.
GGAAAUACGUGCCUUCUUCCUCACCACACUUCCAGCAUUUUGUAUCUCCUACUUUUAUUUAUCAGGCCUAAUUUUUUUGGUGUUAUAUGCCACCUAUAUAGCAUCUUCAUCCAAUUUUCUUUUAAGUCAAAUGAGUAUGUUAAUUUUAAUUUUCUGUUCCAGCCUGCCUCCCAUUCGUCCAUGUGUAUCACUCUGCCUAAGUCUUUUGCCCAUUUGGUCAUAUUUUCUUUGACUAUCUCCGUCUCUGUAUCCCAUUCAAGUAAUACUUUGUAUAUUUUCGAUAUGAUUUUUCUAUUCAAUUCAAAAAUUCUGUCCCAUCUGUUAUUUUUUUCCAUGAAUCCCAAUAUUUUAUCUUUUUUGAAAGAUUCUUUUAGUUGUCCAAAUUGUAACCAAUUUAAAUUUGGGUAUUUUAUUUUUAUUUCUUGUUGUGUUCAUUACUUUUUGGAGGUGUGGUGCUAAUUCUUUUUUAAAUACCUUGUAAUAAAUUGCCGUUAGGCCAUCCGGCCCCGGCGCUUUUGAUCCAUCUAUUUUACUAAUUGUUUCUUCUAUUUCUUUUAUUGAAAUCUCCUUAUUUAGAAAUUCUCUUUCCUCUGAUGUUAUUCUUUCUAGUUUUAAUUUUCCCAGAUAAUUUGUGAUCCCUUCUUCUUUUAUAUUGUCAUUCUCAUAUAGUUUACUAUAAAAUUUAUGGAACUGAUUUAGUAUGUCCUUAUCUGUAUAGUAAUAUUUCUCCCCAAUUCUUAUUCUAUUAAUAAAAGCUGAUUCUCUUUUUUUCCUUAGCUUCCUUGAUAACCAACGCCCCGGUUUGUUUGCAUUUUCAAAGUAAUCCUGUUUUAAGUACUUUAGCUGUUUUGUUCUUUGUUCUAGUUCCAAAUAUUCUCUAUUCUUUUGUCUUAAUGUCAGUUCUUGCAAAAAUUUAUUAUUCUUAGGAUUCUUUUUUAGUUUAUUUUCCAUUUCAAUUAUUUUUUCAGUAGCUUGUUUUAAUUGUUCCUGAUUUUUCCUCUUUUUUUGAAUAUUUUGUUGUAGGAAGUAUCCUCUCAUAGUUACUUUACUGGCUUCCCAGACUAUUAUUGGUGAAGUUUCCUGGUUAUUAUUAAUCAGAAAAAAUUCUUCUAUUAAUUUCCUAUUUUUUUCUAUAUCCUCUUUCCUUUUUAAUAAAUUUUCAUCUAAUCUCCAUUUCCAUCUUCCUCUUUUUUGAUUCAAUACUAUCUCAAUUGGGCUAUGGUCUGAGUCUAGCAUGGGGAGGAUCUUUGACUUUGUGACUUUGGAUGCAAGUGAGCUUGAUAUCCAAAUCAUAUCGAUCCGGGACCAACUUUUAUGUCUGGCUGAGAAAAAUGUAUAAUCCUUGACUUUUU